This 449-nucleotide ribosomal RNA is filed under the name uncultured bacterium. Its description in RNAcentral is "bacterial SSU rRNA". It matches the Rfam family "Bacterial small subunit ribosomal RNA", at positions 355 to 797 of the family's 1533-position model. The record is from RNAcentral.
UUUCGAAUCAUUCACAAUGGGCGAAAGCCUGAUGGUGCGACGCCGCGUGAGGGAUGAAGGCCUUCGGGUUGUAAACCUCUGUCACCGGGGAAGAAACGCUUCAAGUUAACAGCUUGAAGCCUGACUUAACCCGGAGAGGAAGCAGUGGCUAACUCUGUGCCAGCAGCCGCGGUAAUACAGAGACUGCAAGCGUUAUUCGGAUUCACUGGGCGUAAAGGGUGCGCAGGCGGCCGGGUGUGUCAGAUGUGAAAUCCCGAGGCUUAACCUCGGAACUGCGUCUGAAACUACUCGGCUAGAGUAUUGGAGAGGGUAACGGAAUUCACGGUGUAGCAGUGAAAUGCGUAGAUAUCGUGAGGAACACCAGAGGCGAAGGCGGUUACCUGGACAAUUACUGACGCUCAGGCACGAAAGCAUGGGGAGCAAAAGGGAUUAGAUACCCAAGUAGUCCC